RNAcentral lists this ribosomal RNA (301 nucleotides) under uncultured bacterium. Its description in RNAcentral is "partial 16S ribosomal RNA". It matches the Rfam family "Bacterial small subunit ribosomal RNA", at positions 509 to 808 of the family's 1533-position model. The record is from RNAcentral.
CAGUAGCCACGGUAAUACGUAGGUCCCGAGCGUUGUCCGGAUUUAUUGGGCGUAAAGCGAGCGCAGGCGGUUAGAUAAGUCUGAAGUUAAAGGCUGUGGCUUAACCAUAGUACGCUUUGGAAACUGUUUAACUUGAGUGCGAGAGGGGAGAGUAGAAUUCCAUGUGUAGCGGCGAAAUGCGUAGAUAUAUGGAAGAACACCGGUGGCGAAAGCGGCUCUCUGGCUUGUAACUGACGCUGAGGCUCGAAAGCGUGGGGAGCAAACAGGAUUAGAUACCCCCGUAGUCCCUGUCUCUUAUACA